Molecule: long non-coding RNA, 474 nt
Organism: Juglans microcarpa x Juglans regia
Lineage: Eukaryota; Viridiplantae; Streptophyta; Magnoliopsida; Fagales; Juglandaceae
Exons: 3
Source: RefSeq, a predicted model, not a curated record
GUAUAUAGAAGGAUUUGUAGUAAUUUAUAUGUGAAUUAAUUGUCACGGCUCAGACUGCAUGCGUACAUGGCUACACUCGAUCGACGGCAUGCAUUUACUUUAAGCGGUGCUGGUCAUGCAUUUUAACGUACACGCGGAUAUUCAUGCAUUGUGACAUAUGUUCUGGAUUUAUCAUUCUGCCGUUUUUUUACUUAGCUUUUCCACUGCUUUCACAUUUGUUAUUAGAUUGUAUUUUUACUUUAUUUCCACCGCUUCCGAUUUACUAUAAAACCAAAUUUUGUUGUCUGAUUUUGGUGUAAAAGUUUACUGCUUGGCUUUCGGAUUUCAGAUUACACUCGGUAUGCUUCUUGUUUGGUUUUAUACUCUAUUAAUUAUGAAAUUUCCUUUGCUUUCAUGAAAUAGUUAAUACUUAUAGAUGUGAAAAAAAAUUAAUGUAUUUUAUGAUUACAGAAACAAUUAUUUACAGUUUAGCAA